Molecule: unclassified non-coding RNA, 378 nt
Filed under: plant metagenome
Description: partial contains 5.8S ribosomal RNA, internal transcribed spacer 2, and large subunit ribosomal RNA
Rfam family: 5.8S ribosomal RNA (bases 1-105)
Source: RNAcentral
GAAAUGCGAUAAGUAAUGUGAAUUGCAGAAUUCAGUGAAUCAUCGAAUCUUUGAACGCACCUUGCGCUCCUUGGUAUUCCUUGGAGCAUGCCUGUUUGAGUAUCAUGAAAUCUUCAAAGUAAAUCUUUUGUUAACUCAAUUGGUUUCUACUUUGGUAUUGGAGGUCUUUGCAGCUUCACACCUGCUCCUCUUUGUUCAUUAGCUGGAUCUCAGUGUUAUGCUUGGUUCCACUCGGCGUGAUAAGUUAUCUAUCGCUGAGGACACUGUAAAAGGUGGCCAAGGUAAAUGCAGAUGAACCGCUUCUAAUAGCCCAUUGACUUGGACAAUACUUUUAUGAUCUGAUCUCAAAUCAGGUAGGACUACCCGCUGAACUUAAGC